GAUGAACGCUGGCGGCGUGCCUAAUACAUGCAAGUCGAGCGAACGGACGAGAAGCUUGCUUCUCUGAUUUUAGCGGCGGACGGGUGAGUAACACGUGGAUAACCUACCUAUAAGACUGGGAUAACUUCGGGAAACCGGAGCUAAUACCGGAUGAUAUUUUGAACCGCAUGGUUCAAAAGUGAAAGACGUUCUUUCUGUCACUUAUAGAUGGAUCCGCGCUGCAUUAGCUAGUUGGUAAGGUAACGGCUUACCAAGGCAACGAUGCAUAGCCGACCUGAGAGGGUGAUCGGCCACACUGGAACUGAGACACGGUCCAGACUCCUACGGGAGGCAGCAGUAGGGAAUCUUCCGCAAUGGGCGAAAGCCUGACGGAGCAACGCCGCGUGAGUGAUGAAGGUCUUCGGAUCGUAAAACUCUGUUAUUAGGGAAGAACAUAUGUGUAAGUAACUGUGCACAUCUUGACGGUACCUAAUCAGAAAGCCACGGCUAACUACGUG
RNAcentral lists this ribosomal RNA (497 nucleotides) under uncultured bacterium. Its description in RNAcentral is "partial 16S ribosomal RNA". It matches the Rfam family "Bacterial small subunit ribosomal RNA", at positions 28 to 507 of the family's 1533-position model. The record is from RNAcentral.